UGACAUCGCAGCCUGAUCAAACGAAUCCUCCCAAAGUAGUAUCAAAGUCGGAAGCCGAAGGGCCAAAAGGCAGCUCCAUCUGAAUUCGAUCCCGAAUCAUUAGAAAGAGGCACGUGCCAAAGCCCUUCGAGAGAUUAACAACUCUAAAUAUGCUAAACGGGUUUUCGAAUUAAUGAGGAAGCAAGAGGAGACUCGUUUGGCUGAGCUGAAGGUUGAGAAAGCCCAAUUUCAAGCCUUCCAAGCUCAAGUUGAGAUUGUGA
Long non-coding RNA from Telopea speciosissima, 260 nucleotides. RefSeq lists it as uncharacterized. The transcript has 2 exons. The record is from RefSeq and is a predicted model, not a curated record. Lineage: Eukaryota; Viridiplantae; Streptophyta; Magnoliopsida; Proteales; Proteaceae.